UACGGAAUGUGCAAACGUUAUUCGGAAUCACUGGGCUUAAAGAGUUCGUAGGCGGCAUGUUAGGUGAGGUGUGAAAUCCCCCGGCUCAACCGAGGAAUUGCGCUUCAAACCGGCGUGCUUGAGGAAGAUAGAGGUGGGCGGAACUGAUGGUGGAGCGGUGAAAUGCGUUGAUAUCGGGAGGAACACCUAUGGCGAAGGCAGCUCGCUGGGACGUUACUGACGCUGAGACGCGAAAGCGUGGGGAGCAAACAGG
RNAcentral lists this ribosomal RNA (253 nucleotides) under uncultured bacterium. RNAcentral describes it as "partial 16S ribosomal RNA". It matches the Rfam family "Bacterial small subunit ribosomal RNA", at positions 524 to 776 of the family's 1533-position model. The record is from RNAcentral.